UUGCCCAAGGUGGGAUCUCUGCUCAAUGAACCUUCACUGUUGUUAAAUGAAGGCACAUUUUUGUACAUCUAUGUGUCACUGUGGUUCGUCUUUGGAGGAGGGACCCAAGUAAUCAUCACUGGUCAGCCCACAGUCUCUCCUACGGUGCGAGCUUUUGGUCCUCCCCAGGAAGACAUCAGGAGAAGGACAAGGUCAGCCCAGGACAAGGCCACCUUGGUGUGUCUCUUAAGCAACUUUUACCCACCUAAUUUCAACCUACAAUGGAAGGUUGAUGGGAACUUGAUCACAUCUGGAGUGGAGACCAGCAAAGCUACCAAGCAGGGUGACAAAUACCUUGCCAGCAGUUACCUCUCCUUGAGUGCCUCUGAGUAUGGAAAGCAUAACAUUUACACCUGUGAAGUGACACACGAAGGAAAGACCAUUACGAAGUCUGUGUCCGGCUCUGGAAGUUGUUAACUCCAUCAUGAAUCCCUCUCCUGCCAUCGGGCAGCAGGAAAGAGCCCCUCCAUGGCUCUCAUUUAUUCUUUCCGAAUCUUAGCUUGAUCAAUAACAUUUAUUUCUGUCUCAUAUAGUUACACUCUUUGUAACCUCUCCAUGCCGACACCCCUUGAAAUCAAUCCCCCUUCCCUUUGUCUUAGUUUCUACCAUUAGAAGAUUAAUAAAGAUGGAUGUAUUUCA
This is a non-coding RNA of Python bivittatus (Burmese python), 678 nucleotides long. Lineage: Eukaryota; Metazoa; Chordata; Lepidosauria; Squamata; Pythonidae. The record is from the annotation of a RefSeq genome assembly.